Molecule: ribosomal RNA, 913 nt
Filed under: uncultured archaeon
Lineage: Archaea
Description: bacterial SSU rRNA
Rfam family: Archaeal small subunit ribosomal RNA
Source: RNAcentral
UUCCGGUUGAUCCUGCCAGACCUGACUGCUAUCGGAUUGAUACUAAGCCAUGCGAGUCAUUGUAGCAAUACAAGGCAGACGGCUCAGUAACGCGUAGUCAACCUACCCUAUGGACGGGGAUAACCUCGGGAAACUGAGAAUAAUACCAGAUAGAACAUUAUGCCUGGAAUGGUUUAUGUUUCAAAUAAUUUAUUGCCGUAGGAUGGGACUGCGGCCUAUCAGUUUGUUGGUGAGGUAAUGGCCCACCAAGACUAUUACAGGUACGGGCUCUGAGAGGAGUAGCCCGGAGAUGGGUACUGAGACACGGACCCAGGCCCUAUGGGGCGCAGCAGGCGAGAAAACUUUGCAAUGUGCGAAAGCACGACAAGGUUAAUCCGAGUGAUUUCUGCUAAAGGAAUCUUUUGUCAGUCCUAGAAACACUGUUGAAUAAGGGGUGGGCAAGUUCUGGUGUCAGCCGCCGCGGUAAAACCAGCACCUCAAGUGGUCAGGAUGAUUAUUGGGCCUAAAGCAUCCGUAGCCUGCUUUGUCAGUUUUCGGUUAAAUCCAUACGCUCAACGUAUGGGCUGCCGGAAAUACUGCAAAGCUAGGGAGUGGGAGAGGUAGACGGUACUCGGGAGGAAGGGGUAAAAUCCUUUGAUCUCUCGAUGACCACCUGUGGCGAAGGCGGUCUACCAGAACACGUCCGACGGUGAGGGGUGAAAGCUGGGGGAGCAAACCGGAUUAGAUACCCGGGUAGUCCCAGCUGUAAACUAUGCAAACUCAGUGAUGCAUUGGCUUGAUGCCAAUGCAGUGUUGCAGGGAAGCCGUUAAGUUUGCCGCCUGGGAAGUACGUACGCAAGUAUGAAACUUAAAGGAAUUGGCGGGGGAGCACCACAAGGGGUGAAGCCUGCGGUUCAAUUGGAGUCAACGCCGG